GAAUAGCUGCUUGCUUCUAUCAAUUGCAGUUAUCUAGGUUUUAUGUGCUGGAAUGCUGCGACAGCUAGUGGGGUGCUUGCACCAAAUUUUCUUCAAAUCUACUAAAGUGUUGAUCCGUCUCAUAUUUUAUUAUAUUUUUUCACUUUCUGCGUUUGUGUCAUCAAACUUUUUCUUAUGACUGUUCACUAUUUCCUAACUCUCGUGAAAUGCUUCAGAAUAGAUGAUCAUAGGUUUCUGAUUUGAUAGAGAUAUUUUAGGUGGGUUGCAUUUCUCAUUAUGGCAUGUUUUGAUGUCAUGUAUACUUGAAAGGAAACUGAUGGUUUUUGGGUUAGACAGAAGGGAAAUCAGUGCAAGAAAU
Molecule: unclassified non-coding RNA, 358 nt
Filed under: Hevea brasiliensis (rubber tree)
Lineage: Eukaryota; Viridiplantae; Streptophyta; Magnoliopsida; Malpighiales; Euphorbiaceae
Source: RNAcentral